This 253-nucleotide ribosomal RNA is filed under the name uncultured bacterium. Its description in RNAcentral is "partial 16S ribosomal RNA". It matches the Rfam family "Bacterial small subunit ribosomal RNA", at positions 524 to 776 of the family's 1533-position model. The record is from RNAcentral.
UACGGGGGGGGCAAGCGUUGUUCGGAAUUACUGGGCGUAAAGGGCGCGUAGGCGGCCUGCUAAGUCACACGUGAAAUCCCUCGGCUCAACCGGGGAACUGCGUGUGAUACUGGCGGGCUUGAAUUCGGGAGAGGGAUGUGGAAUUCCAGGUGUAGCGGUGAAAUGCGUAGAUAUCUGGAGGAACACCGGUGGCGAAGGCGGCAUCCUGGACCGAGAUUGACGCUGAGGAGCGAAAGCCAGGGGAGCAAACGGG